Molecule: ribosomal RNA, 301 nt
Filed under: uncultured bacterium
Lineage: Bacteria
Description: partial 16S ribosomal RNA
Rfam family: Bacterial small subunit ribosomal RNA
Source: RNAcentral
CAGUAGCCGCGGUAAUCCGGAGGGUGCAAGCGUUAAUCGGAAUUACUGGGCGUAAAGCGCACGCAGGCGGUUUGUUAAGUCAGAUGUGAAAUCCCCGAGCUUAACUUGGGAACUGCAUUUGAAACUGGCAAGCUAGAGUCUUGUAGAGGGGGGUAGAAUUCCAGGUGUAGCGGUGAAAUGCGUAGAGAUCUGGAGGAAUACCGGUGGCGAAGGCGGCCCCCUGGACAAAGACUGACGCUCAGGUGCGAAAGCGUGGGGAGCAAACAGGAUUAGAUACCCGCGUAGUCCCUGUCUCUUAUAC